Molecule: ribosomal RNA, 368 nt
Filed under: uncultured organism
Description: bacterial SSU rRNA
Rfam family: Bacterial small subunit ribosomal RNA
Source: RNAcentral
CGGAGGGUGCAAGCGUUGUCCGGAUUUAUUGGGUUUAAAGGGUGCGUAGGCGGUCUUUUAAGUCAGUGGUGAAAUCCUGCAGCUCAACUGUAGAACAGCCAUUGAUACUGAAAGACUUGAGUACAGACGAGGUAGGCGGAAUUUAUGGUGUAGCGGUGAAAUGCAUAGAUACCAUAAAGAACCCCUAUUGCGAAGGCAGCUUACUAGGCUGUAACUGACGCUGAGGCACGAAAGCGUGGGGAUCAAACAGGAUUAGAUACCCUGGUAGUCCACGCCGUAAACGAUGAUUACUCGAUGUUCGCGAUAUACAGUGAGCGUCCAAGCGAAAGCGUUAAGUAAUCCACCUGGGAAGUACGAUCGCAAGAUUG